UACGAAGGGGGCUAGCGUUGCUCGGAAUCACUGGGCGUAAAGCGCACGUAGGCGGACUCUUAAGUCGGUGGUGAAAUCCUGGAGCUCAACUUCAGAACUGCCUUCGAUACUGAGAGUCUCGAGUCCGGGAGAGGUGAGUGGAACUGCGAGUGUAGAGGUGAAAUGCGCAGAUAUCGGGAGGAACACCAGUAGCGAAGGCGGCUCGCUGGGCCACACCUGACGCUGAGACGCGAAAGCUAGGGGAGCGAACAGG
This 253-nucleotide ribosomal RNA is filed under the name uncultured bacterium. RNAcentral describes it as "partial 16S ribosomal RNA". It matches the Rfam family "Bacterial small subunit ribosomal RNA", at positions 524 to 776 of the family's 1533-position model. The record is from RNAcentral.